Molecule: long non-coding RNA, 662 nt
Organism: Paramisgurnus dabryanus
Lineage: Eukaryota; Metazoa; Chordata; Actinopteri; Cypriniformes; Cobitidae
Source: RefSeq, a predicted model, not a curated record
CUCACAGAUAACCAUGGUUAAUAAAUGGUCAGUAGAUGACACGUCACUGGCUUUAAAAUAUAAACCCCAUUGAUGCAAAAAGAUGCUGCAUGGAAUGACAAUGAGGUUUGGAACAGACUUGGUGAAGAACAUGGAAACAUCUCCAAAUAAAAUGGCCCCAAACAUCAUCAGGAGUGCAAAAGAAUGAAGUAAAAAACAUCUCUACGCCAAUCUCAUUGGAACAGCAGAGGAAAGCACAGAAGAAAGAAAGCCGUGAACGUUUGAAAUAACGAGAACCCAAAGGUCCCACACCAACCAUAGUGUUCAACGGCUCUCCUGAUCCUCUCAAAGCUGAAAGUAUCAACUUUAUAAUGGACAAUGUGAACAUAAUAUGUGGAAGACAUUGACAUCACAGGCUGUGGAAUGACUCUUCAAUGUUCAAUACCCUUUUGCCAUUAAGCACACAGUGACUUUAAUUUAUAAAAUAUAUGCUUAAAUUUAAAUACCUGUACAAAACAAAUGUACAAUCAACUUGUGUAAAUUGUCAUUCUAUUUAAUAGAUUGUUCAUGAAUUGUCUUUAAAUGCAUUGUGAUUUCUUUUCAUCAUUUCAGACACAUGUAAAAGUUACUAAAAAUUAGUACUGCAUAUACUGUACAGUAUCUUUCUUUAUAAAAACAGAAAA